Molecule: ribosomal RNA, 637 nt
Filed under: uncultured archaeon
Lineage: Archaea
Description: bacterial SSU rRNA
Rfam family: Archaeal small subunit ribosomal RNA
Source: RNAcentral
GCCGAUCAGGCUGUUGGUGAGGUAAUGGCCCACCAAACCUGUAACCGGUACGGGCUUUGAGAGAAGGAGCCCGGAGAUGGGCACUGAGACAAGGGCCCAGGCCCUAUGGGGCGCAGCAGGCGCGAAACCUCUGCAAUAGGCGAAAGCUUGACAGGGUUACUCUGAGUGAUGCCCGCUAAGGGUAUCUUUUGGCACCUCUAAAAAUGGUGCAGAAUAAGGGGUGGGCAAGUCUGGUGUCAGCCGCCGCGGUAAUACCAGCACCCCGAGUUGUCGGGACGAUUAUUGGGCCUAAAGCAUCCGUAGCCUGUUCUGCAAGUCCUCCGUUAAAUCCACCUGCUCAACGGACGGGCUGCGGGGGAUACCGCAGAGCUAGGAGGCGGGAGAGGCAAACGGUACUCAGUAGGUAGGGGUAAAAUCCUUUGAUCUACUGAAGACCACCAGUGGCGAAGGCGGUUUGCCAGAACGCGCUCGACGGUGAGGGAUGAAAGCUGGGGGAGCAAACCGGAUUAGAUACCCGGGUAGUCCCAGCUGUAAACGAUGCAGACUCGGUGAUGGGUUGGCUUCGGGCCAACCCAGUGCCGCAGGGAAGCCGUUAAGUCUGCCGCCUGGGGAGUACGGUCGCAAGACUGAAACUUAA